This 77-nucleotide transfer RNA is filed under the name Pseudomonas graminis. RNAcentral describes it as "tRNA-Arg". It matches the Rfam family "tRNA". Rfam says of the family: Transfer RNA (tRNA) molecules are approximately 80 nucleotides in length. Their secondary structure includes four short double-helical elements and three loops (D, anti-codon, and T loops). RNAcentral also lists the same sequence under 1 other name. Lineage: Bacteria; Pseudomonadati; Pseudomonadota; Gammaproteobacteria; Pseudomonadales; Pseudomonadaceae. The record is from RNAcentral.
GCACCUGUAGCUCAGCUGGAUAGAGUACUGCCCUCCGAAGGCAGGGGUCGUGGGUUCGAAUCCCGCCUGGUGCACCA